This 207-nucleotide ribosomal RNA is filed under the name uncultured Lachnospiraceae bacterium. RNAcentral describes it as "partial 16S ribosomal RNA". The record is from RNAcentral. Lineage: Bacteria; Bacillati; Bacillota; Clostridia; Lachnospirales; Lachnospiraceae.
GGAGUUUGGGCCGUGUCUCAGUCCCAAUGUGGCCGUUCACCCUCUCAGGCCGGCUACUGAUCGUCGACUUGGUGAGCCGUUACCUCACCAACUAUCUAAUCAGACGCGGGUCCAUCUUACACCGAUAAAUACUUUUCUACACUGCAUCAUGCGAUACCGUGCGCUUAUGCGGUAUUAGCAGUCGUUUCCAACUGUUGUCCCCCUCGU